This 341-nucleotide ribosomal RNA is filed under the name Gymnotus cylindricus. Its description in RNAcentral is "partial 12S ribosomal RNA". It matches the Rfam family "Bacterial small subunit ribosomal RNA", at positions 875 to 1354 of the family's 1533-position model. The record is from RNAcentral. Lineage: Eukaryota; Metazoa; Chordata; Actinopteri; Gymnotiformes; Gymnotidae.
GAGACCGUACCAAACUCAUUCGCCAGAGUACUACAAGCAAAAGCUUAAAACUCAAAGGACUUGGCGGUGUUUCAGACCCACCUAGAGGAGCCUGUUCUAGAACCGAUAAUACUCGUUUAACCUCACCACUUCUUGUUUCCCCAGCCUAUAUACCGCCGUCGUCAGCUUACCCUGUGAAGGUCAAAAAGUAAGCAAAAUGGGUAUAACCCAAAACGUCAGGCCGAGGUGUAGCGCACGAAGUGGGAAGAAAUGGGCUACAUUUUCUAAUAAUAGAAUAUUACGCACGAUGCACUGAAACGUGCAUCUUUAAAGGUGGAUUUAGUAGUAAAAAGCAAAUAGAG